AUGGGAGCUUUCCCUCUUACUACGGGGCGUUUACCUAGCCAACACUUAGAUGCGGCUCUACCCAAACUUUUUUGGUUCACCCCAACAUUAGUGAACUCGCGCCGCCACCACUGCCCCCGUACUGCCUGCAGCACGAGUUUGGACCGUGCCCAGCGCGUACAGGUGCACAACCGCGGCUGCCGUCACCGACGCCGUCGGAUGAACUGCCGGAGCACUUCUUCCCUCCUGGAUACGGUCCUGUCCCGGAUCUCCCGUCUCCGACGCCGGCAGCAGUGGAAGUCCACGCCUACUCCACCGUCCCCGAUCUGA
Molecule: ribosomal RNA, 309 nt
Filed under: Triticum aestivum (bread wheat)
Lineage: Eukaryota; Viridiplantae; Streptophyta; Magnoliopsida; Poales; Poaceae
Description: partial small subunit ribosomal RNA
Source: RNAcentral